Molecule: ribosomal RNA, 496 nt
Filed under: uncultured bacterium
Lineage: Bacteria
Description: partial 16S ribosomal RNA
Rfam family: Bacterial small subunit ribosomal RNA
Source: RNAcentral
AUGAACGCUGGCGGCGUGCCUAAUCCAUGCAAGUCGCGCGAACGGACGAGAAGCUUGCUUCUCUGAUGUUAGCGGCGGACGGGUGAGUAACACGUGGAUAACCUACCUAUAAGACUGGGAUAACUUCGGGAAACCGGAGCUAAUACCGGAUGAUAUUUUGAACCGCAUGGUUCAAAAGUGAAAGACGGUCUUGCUGUCACUUAUUGAUGGAUCCGCGCUGCAUUAGCUAGUUGGUAAGGUAACGGCUUACCAAGGCAACGAUGCAUAGCCGACCUGAGAGGGUGAUCGGCCACACUGGAACUGAGACACGGUCCAGACUCCUACGGGAGGCAGCAGUAGGGAAUCUUCCGCAAUGGGCGAAGGCCUGACGGAGCAACGCCGCGUGAGUGAUGAAGGUCUUCGGAUCGUAAAACUCUGUUAUUAGGGAAGAACAUAUGUGUAAGUAACUGUGCACAUCUUGACGGUACCUAAUCAGAAAGCCACGGCUAACUACGUG